AGCGGGGUAAAGCCAGAGG
This 19-nucleotide small nuclear RNA is filed under the name Arabidopsis thaliana (thale cress). RNAcentral's name for it is "snRNA_14551". Lineage: Eukaryota; Viridiplantae; Streptophyta; Magnoliopsida; Brassicales; Brassicaceae. The record is from RNAcentral.